This 69-nucleotide transfer RNA is filed under the name Ictidomys tridecemlineatus (thirteen-lined ground squirrel). RNAcentral describes it as "Spermophilus tridecemlineatus (thirteen-lined ground squirrel) tRNA". It matches the Rfam family "tRNA". Rfam says of the family: Transfer RNA (tRNA) molecules are approximately 80 nucleotides in length. Their secondary structure includes four short double-helical elements and three loops (D, anti-codon, and T loops). The record is from Rfam by way of RNAcentral. Lineage: Eukaryota; Metazoa; Chordata; Mammalia; Rodentia; Sciuridae.
GUUGUAGCUCAGUGGUAGAGCCCUUGCCUUGCAUGCGUGAAGAACUGGGUUUGAUUCUCAGCACAUACA